This is a long non-coding RNA of Polypterus senegalus (gray bichir), 98 nucleotides long. RefSeq lists it as uncharacterized. The record is from RefSeq and is a predicted model, not a curated record. NCBI's taxonomy places the organism in Eukaryota, Metazoa, Chordata, Cladistia, Polypteriformes, Polypteridae. The transcript has 3 exons.
AUUUAUGUGGAAUAUUUGGAUGAAGAAACUAGGUCUUAGAAAGUAGCGCAAUGUGAAGACUGAAUGAUAACCAGAGGAAUGGGAAGUCACUAGAGGCA